AGUUGAGCGGAGAUUAUGGAGCUUGCUUUAUAUAACUUAGCAGCGAACGGGUGAGUAACACGUAGAUGAUCUAUCCUAUACUGGGGGAUAGCCCGAUGAAAGUUGGAUUAAUACCGCAUAUAGCUAUAUAGUUGCAUGAUUAUGUAGUGAAAGAUUUAUUGGUAUAGGAGGAGUCUGCGGCACAUUAGCUAGUAGGUGAGGUAAAGGCUUACCUAGGCGACGAUGUGUAGCCGGUCUGAGAGGAUGAACGGCCACAAUGGAACUGAGACACGGUCCAUACUCCUACGGGAGGCAGCAGUGGGGAAUAUUGCACAAUGGGGGAAACCCUGAUGCAGCAACGCCGCGUGAGUGAAGAAGGUUUUCGGAUUGUAAAGCUCUGUUAGCAGGGAAGAGGAAGGACGGUACCUGCAGAGGAAGCCACGGCUAACUACGUGCCAGCAGCCGCGGUAAUACGUAGGUGGCAAGCGUUGUUCGGAAUAACUGGGCGUAAAGGAUGCGUAGGCGGUUAAACAAGUUAUAUGUUAAAUAUAUAGGCUUAACCUGUAGAAAGCAUAUAAAACUGUUUAACUAGAGUGCAGGAGAGGUAAGUGGAAUUCCUAGUGUAGCGGUGAAAUGCGUAGAGAUUAGGAAGAACACCAGUGGCGAAGGCGACUUACUGGACUGUAACUGACGCUGAGGCAUGAGAGCAUGGGGAGCAAACAGGAUUAGAUACCCUGGUAGUCCAUGCUGUAAACGAUGGGUACUAGGUGUGGGUUGUGAAUAACAAUUCGUGCCGUC
This 777-nucleotide ribosomal RNA is filed under the name uncultured bacterium. RNAcentral describes it as "bacterial SSU rRNA". It matches the Rfam family "Bacterial small subunit ribosomal RNA", at positions 60 to 850 of the family's 1533-position model. The record is from RNAcentral.